CAUUCAUAUAGUUUUAAUUGUUCUGAAUUUUGUAAAUUUUUAUUAGCUAUGCUGUAUUUAUAUUCUAUUACGAUCAAUUUACUGACUGCCUUUUAUCCUUCUUUAGUAAUCAAGUAAUGCAUUUUUUGGAUGCGAGGAACUUUUUAUCAAGUCAAGACCCUCAGGGGAAGAAAAUUAGUAUUCAGCACUGUGUCUGUGGCCUGCGUCCAUUGUUCCUCUGCUAAAACAUUUCUUAUGACUAAAAGAAUAAUAACAAGCCUCUUACAAUGCCACAUAGUUAAUUGUCAUUUACUGUGACUUACUCAUUCUAGUUCCUUGAAAUCUUCAGUAGCUCCCUGCUUCUCUGUAUCAUCACCUCCAGCUAACCUUAUGCGCCUGCUCUUCUCUUUAGAAAGUUAAUUCUAUGGCACUCCCCAAUGUGGAAGAAAUUGAGUUUAUCAAAAUUAAGUGGAACAGCUGUUACAGAUUCGUAUAUUUUGUGGAUGCCUUUGAAGUUUCUUCUGUGUCUGCAGACGAGUCCUUACUCCGGUGCAUAUAUACUCAUGACAUUGAACAUAACAGCUCUUCGCACGUCAAACUUCGCAUUAUUUGUUGAUCAGCACCAAAAGAAAAAACUCCAAUUAGAUUCAAUGAUGAGCGGACUUCAGUGUGGACCUAGUUGUACUCCCAAACUAUUCAUUAAAAAAAAUAAAUAAAACUUUUAAAAGAUUGAAAACUUUAAAAAAUUGAUAAAAAACUGAAAUAAAUAUCGCUGGCGGUCUAAUUAAACAGAUUGAAUGGGGGAAUGACCGUCCAUGACGAUUGGACUUGUUUUAUUACAAUUUUGCUGCUCGAGUGAACUCUUCUUUCUGACCAAUCUGACUGGAAUUUGAAAUGCCUCUCUUCCAUUGACCAUAACAGUGGAAUUUCAGACGUUGUUUUAGUGUCUUGCCUCGCAAUAGGUUAAUCCAUCUUUAUUCUGAGAAUAAAUCUUUCACUUGUCCCCCUUUCAAAUGAAUUUGCCUCAAAAGAAUGAUUCCACUGGGGAAAAUAAUGUGAUUAAUAAAAAGUGCAAUCAUGGAUCAUUUUUCAAAUAGCAAGAGGGCAUGGCAAAAGCACCGUCUAGGCAAGUGCCUGUUAUCAUUUUUGUUAAGUGAACUUCCUAGUGACUAUGUAAUAAAAUUUAUAAAUUACUACAAAAUAGAACAAUCUUAGCAUAUUGAAAAUAUAGUAAUUUAAAUUUUUUUGGCUUAUAUAAAAUUUUUAUUUGAGAAUGCGUUUUUAUCCAAAAAUGUGCUGAAUAUGUUGUUUUUGUAGGUCUUGCAAGUAUUUUUGUCCAAAUUAAAUAUUUCAGAAUUUAUCUGCUGGCAAUAGAUCUUUUGCUUUAAUAUAUAUAUAUAUGUAUUCUAUGUAUAUCAUGUGUAUAACAAAAGAGUUCAUAAAUUGUAUGUAUAGUUACUUGAAAAAAAAAAGUAAUGCAUUCUAAGAAAAUAUUAAUGUUAUGAAUUGUUUUCCCAAUGUGUGAUAACUGAAUUUUUCUGAUCAUUGUCCAGUUGAAAUUUCAAAUUUUCUUUCCGAGUUCCUCACAUUCAUUAAUAGUAGUAUAAUAAGAAUGUCUAAUUCUGAUAUGUUAUAAUAUGUAGUAUGUAAAAUAUUGCUGUAACAUUUUCUUAUGCGUAAGAGAUAUUUGAUUUUUGGCCAUAGAACUUGAUAUAUUUUUUGAUUGAAAUACUAGUGUCUUUCAGAAGGGUAUCUAAUUAAUAAAUAUGGAAAUAAAGGAAAUAUAUGAGGAUAAAUUAAGUCUUACAGAUUGAUGUUACUUUUAAGUUUAAAAGGUAUAUAAAACUAAUUCAAACAUUCAUGUGUUCAAGUUAUUUUAACAAUUCAGUACUCUUUGAGGAGAGUACAAUACAUGACGCAGUGUCAAAUCUCCCAUUUAUGCAUAAUUCUUAAUCCAUGUAUAUUUUUGAUUUUAUUUGGUGCCUUGAAUUUUAGAUAUUUAAAAUUGCAACUUUGAUUGUUAGACAUUUGAAAUUAAUUAUCACAAGUAGGAAACUGAUUGGAAAAAUGUAGUUUUGCUGUGUUAUGCAUUUUACUAAUAUUUAUAUUGAUAAUAUCCAUAUAAUUGUCAUGUUGUGCAUAUAUAAAUACUGGUUUUGCUUAUUUAUCUUUUGCAAUGUAUUCUGGGUCUAUUUAAAUUAGUGCUAAUUUGUUAAAGUAAAGAAUAAUGAAAAAGUAAGAUAGGCUUGUCUCUAAACUUUAGUUUUUAAUUCUUAAUCUUGGUGUUAUUUGCAUAAUUUGAAUGUUUAAUUUUAUAUUUAACUAAAUAUUUUACAAUAAAGUUAUCAAAAUUGAUUUUAUUGUAUGUAAUUUUUGUUUUAUGUGCCUAUGCCAUGCCAGUAUGUUAACUUCAUCAGAAAGAUUCCUUCCCUUUUUCCUUUCAUCCAUUUGACUUCUGCCAAGUUAAUAAAUGGCACUUAGCAUACAUAAUAUUUGGGUAAAAGAAAUGAUGGUAUGGAAAUAAAAUUUGAUUAGCAGUGUUUGAA
Molecule: long non-coding RNA, 2525 nt
Organism: Stegodyphus dumicola
Lineage: Eukaryota; Metazoa; Arthropoda; Arachnida; Araneae; Eresidae
Gene: Ythdf
Source: RefSeq, a predicted model, not a curated record